This is a non-coding RNA of Xyrichtys novacula (pearly razorfish), 1398 nucleotides long. The record is from the annotation of a GenBank genome assembly. NCBI's taxonomy places the organism in Eukaryota, Metazoa, Chordata, Actinopteri, Labriformes, Labridae.
CCCACACACACUGAAUUUGUUUGUUUGAACAAUGUCACAGAGAGCUUUAGUGAGCAACAGUUUCACAAGUCUUUAUUUAAUUUCAUACCCUCUCUCCAUGUUGAUCAGACAGUAACAGGUGCAAUAGAUUGUUUUCAUUCAGAUUCUCUCAAACCAAAUGGAAAACAUUUUUAUAUUUCCUGCUUUGUCUCUCUCCGAGCUUUCCUGUGCUCUCUCUGUGUUCUUCUGCCCUGCUGACCCUAAAGCUGAACUCCUUUUCUGUCAGGUCUCUGAUGAGCAAGUAAGGAUACUCAGCAUUAACACUAGCAUGGUCCAGAUAAAAAGCCCUUCCUUCCUCCAUCCUGGCAGCAGCUGCCUUGAAAAGACACACGCAUGCCAAAAAAGUGCCUCUUUGGUGCAAAAGAGCAGAUUUUCACACAAACCAGUAGGCCUGAGGCUUUCCUGGAAAUGCCAGAGGGGUUGGCCAAAGUAACAGCGAAAAUGCUCGAAUCAGAAAAAAUGCAGUGGACUUCCUGCUAUUGUUUGAACAUUACUCAGGAAGUCACAAUAAUAGGUGUCAGCUUUUCUGAUAGCUUACUAAUCUCUGUUUGAUGUUGUCAACACAACUAACUUUGCACUUUGUUAGUUAAGCAAUAUAAUCUAAAUAUUAGCCAUACAAAUUGGGCAAAGUGAGUAACCCCUGUCACAAAUAAAUUAAGUGAUUGAAAGCUAUUUGCUCAAGUUUUAAUUACACAAAGCUGGUUAAUCUUUCAACACCAAUCUAAUUUAAUGUACGAAUAAGUUCAUUUAGUCUGUUUUAGUUAUCUCAUUGUACCGAUGUACUCAUCAUAUUCUCCUCUUCCUCCACCUCCUGCUACAGGCCCACUCUGACCAGUAAAGAGCGUGUGUGUUGUGUGGGCCGGAGUUUCUGUCUUGCACAGCGAGCAUUAGUCAUCCAGGUUGGUGGAUGGAGAGAACAAGUAACUCAGGUGGGUGGAGGUGCCCUCAUAUUGGAUCACAGUGAGGCCUCAAAAACAAAGAACAAUGCCUCUGAGAUGAGACGCUGGAAAACAGAGAGGUUUCAACAAACAGGGGUUCAAAAUAAAAGUAUUUUAAGAGCAGCUUAUACCUGACAGAGAGGUAUUUUGCUUUUCUUUGCACCAAAUAUAAGGAUCUGCUGUCAAGCCAUGAGUAUAUUUUCAUGUAAAAUCAUUGUAUUACUCUAUUUUUGUAGGCUUUCUUGGAAGGUUUUAGGUAAUAUUUAACAGGAUAAGUAAAAUAUAAAUUUCCUUGGAUUUACAUGGGAGUUCGGUGGUCUUUCUACUUAAAGUCCACCUAAUGAUCUAUCUAUUUGAAAGUGAUCAAUUCGUUUCACAGUUUUCUAGUGAAAAAAUAAAAUGUACCCCAUUCUUAUGUUAC